AAGCAGGACUCAGAACACAAUAAAGCUGUUAAAUGCUGUGUUGUAAUUCCCCCUGUUCAAAUCAAGCUGUUUCUUACCUAUACCUGUUGGCUCUGCCCCUGUAGUGGCCAGGGGUGCAUGUUCUCAUACAU
Molecule: small nucleolar RNA, 131 nt
Organism: Sciurus carolinensis (gray squirrel)
Lineage: Eukaryota; Metazoa; Chordata; Mammalia; Rodentia; Sciuridae
Product: small nucleolar RNA SNORA63
Exons: 1
Source: RefSeq, a predicted model, not a curated record